This 448-nucleotide ribosomal RNA is filed under the name uncultured bacterium. RNAcentral's name for it is "bacterial SSU rRNA". It matches the Rfam family "Bacterial small subunit ribosomal RNA", at positions 330 to 792 of the family's 1533-position model. The record is from RNAcentral.
GCCAGACUCCUACGGGAGGCAGCAGUGGGGAAUAUUGGGCAAUGGAGGCAACUCUUACCCAGCAAUGCCGCGUGAAUGAAGAAGGUCUUCGGAUUGUAAAGUUCUUUAAUUGGGGACGAAAAAAAUGACGGUACCCAAGGAAUAAGCCCCGGCUAACUACGUGCCAGCAGCCGCGGUAAUACGUAGGGGGCAAGCGUUAUCCGGAUUUACUGGGUGUAAAGGGAGCGUAGACGGCUAUGCAAGUCUGGAGUGAAAGGCGGGGGCCCAACCCCCGGACUGCUCUGGAAACUGUAGAGCUAGAGUGCAGGAGAGGUAAGUGGAAUUCCUAGUGUAGCGGUGAAAUGCGUAGAUAUCAGGAGGAACACCGGCGGCGAAGGCGGCCUGCUGGACCGCGACUGACGUUGAGGCUCGAAAGCGUGGGGAGCGAACAGGAUUAGAUACCCUUGUA